AUUGAACGCUGGCGGCAGGCCUAACACACGCAAGUCGAACGAGGGGCGGACGGGUGAGUAAUGUCUGGGAAACUGCCUGAUGGAGGGGGAUAACUACUGGAAACGGUAGAUAAUACCGCAUAACAUCAGAUGUGCCCAGAUGGGAUUAGAUAGUAGGUGGGGUAACGGCUCACCUAGGCGACGAUCCCUAGCUGGUCUGAGAGGAUGACCAGCCACCCUGGUACUGGGCCACGGUCCAGACUCCUACGGGAGGCAGCAGUGGGGAAUAUUGCACCAUGGGCGCAAUCCUGAUGCAGCCAUGCCGCGUGUGUGAAGAAGGCCUUCGGGUUGUAAAGCACUUUCAGCUGUGAGGCGUUACCCGCAGAAGAAGCACCGGCUAACUCCGUGCCAGCAGCCGCGGUAAUUC
Molecule: ribosomal RNA, 406 nt
Filed under: uncultured bacterium
Lineage: Bacteria
Description: partial 16S ribosomal RNA
Rfam family: Bacterial small subunit ribosomal RNA
Source: RNAcentral